Molecule: small nuclear RNA, 108 nt
Filed under: Macleaya cordata
Lineage: Eukaryota; Viridiplantae; Streptophyta; Magnoliopsida; Ranunculales; Papaveraceae
Source: RNAcentral
AUGUAGGUAGUUAUAUAUAAAUUUAAAUUGGAAUGAUAUAGAGAAGAUUAGCAUGACCUUAUUUGCACGAAGAUGACGCGAACAAAUCAAGAUAUAAAAAUCGAGCAA